This 469-nucleotide ribosomal RNA is filed under the name uncultured bacterium. RNAcentral's name for it is "partial 16S ribosomal RNA". It matches the Rfam family "Bacterial small subunit ribosomal RNA", at positions 27 to 507 of the family's 1533-position model. The record is from RNAcentral.
GGACGAACGCUGGCGGCGUGCUUACCACAUGCAAGUCGAACGGAAAGGCCCUGCGUUUGUGGGGUGCUCGAGUGGCGAACGGGUGAGUAACACGUGAGUAACCUGCCCCUGACUUUGGGAUAACUUCAGGAAACUGGGGCUAAUACCGGAUAGGAGCUCCUGCUGCCUGGUGGGGGGUGGAAAGUUUCGUCGGUUGGGGAUGGACUCGCGGCUUAUCAGCUUGUUGGUGGGGUAGUGGCUUACCAAGGCUUUGACGGGGAGCCGGCCUGAGGAGGUGACCGGCCGCAUUGGGACUGUGAGACGGGCCAGACUCCUGCGGGAGGCAGGAGGGGUGAAUAUUGGACGAUGGGCGCAAGCCUGAUGCAGUAACUCCGCUUGCGGGAUGAAGGCCUUCGGGUUGUAAACCGCUUUCGCCUGUGACGCCGCGUGAGUGACGGUAAUGUGUAAAGAAGCACCGGCUAACUACGUG